Lagopus leucura (white-tailed ptarmigan) is the source of this 3132-nucleotide long non-coding RNA. RefSeq lists it as uncharacterized. The transcript has 3 exons. NCBI's taxonomy places the organism in Eukaryota, Metazoa, Chordata, Aves, Galliformes, Phasianidae. The record is from RefSeq and is a predicted model, not a curated record.
CUCUCUGAAUCUGCAAACUGACCAGCAGACUGAGUGGAAAUAAAGCCAAUUAAUUUUUAUUGGAAGUACUGCAUACAGAGCUGGAACCCCCGGUAAAAGAAAGGCGCAGAGCUCUUGGAUCAAGAGGAGGGCCACUAAGAUGAUCAGAGGGCUGGAGCACCUCUCGUGUGAAGAAAGGUGGAGAGAACCAGGCUUGUUUAGCUUGGUGGAAAUCUGGACGGCUUCCCAGCCCCCUUGCCGACAGCUCCACCGCGGUCACCACGGUUGGCUGCACCUUCCUCUCUGGAGCGGUGCGAGCAUCGAGCCCUAGGGAGUGCAGACACUUCCCGGAGCUCCUGCAGAGACACAGCAGCAUACAGGAUCAGCCUCAGUCCCUGGGGCCUUCCUUCAGCUCCCUGCUCCCGCUCCUCUCCUCUGCCGGCCUGUCAGCACUGCUUUGCCCCUGAAGGACCAGGAGCCCCAAAGCCAGUGAUCCACAACUCGUGGCAAACAGAGGCCGUAUUCCUCUCUCACAGCCCCUGUGUGUGCUGUGGCAGGUGGCAGGCCAGGAGGUGAGAAGAGACAGGGAAGGUGUGCAGCACCCCCCAUCUACCGAAGAGGAGCUGAAGGAGCGGACAGAAAUGUGAAAUGAUGGCACCCGAAGGGCUGUGCUCCAGAUCACUGCACACACAGAGGCUUUUGCUUCCCUCCCUGUGGAAGCACUCAAGGCCAGGCUGGGUUGGGCUUAGAGCAACCUGGUCUAGAGACAGGUGUCUCUGCCUGCAGCAGGGGAUUGGAACCAGGUGAUCAGAACGGUCCUUUCCAAGCCAAACUUUUCUAUGAUUCUACCAUUCUGUCAUUGGUGCAAUCUCAAGCAGCACAGUCCCUGCAGCAAGGCAGAGCCAGUACCUGCAGCACUCUCUUAGAUUCCUCGGUGGCAGGGAGUGCAGUGCUGGUCUGUGCAGUAGACGCCUCCUUCUGUUCUCCUGUCUUUGUCCUGCGGAAGCUGCCUGCACACGGUGGGAGCACGCUGCAAACAGACACAAGAGGAGUCUGCAGGAGCCCGGGGCACCUUGGUCUCCCCGUGCUCCCACAACCGUAAAGAUGGGCUCUGGCGCAAGACGCCUGGAGAGAUGCCUGAAGGGAGAAGAGCUUCUGCCAUCAAUAGGGAUCAGCACUCAGCUCCCCCAGGGACCGGGGACCAGGGUAGAACAUGAAGCUGGUGUGUCUGCCUCGGGAAAUCGUGCUGCGCGCUUGCCGUCCCUGGAGAGAACAGCCCCCCUGGGACACACGUGUGUCAGGAGCCUUUCUGGGUGCCGAGAGCUGGCAGCUCCGAAGGGGAGGCCGCUCCUACACGAGCGCACGCAUCUCCUUCUUUUUGCUGAAGGCCCUCACCUGGUAGGAGGCUCCUUUGCCAACUUUUGCUGCCUUGAGCCUGGCUCGUGCUGCAGCAGCAUGGGGGGGGUAAGUGUCUUCCGCUUUGGCAGCAGCCUGCCGGCAGAGACUCCUGCAACCAAGAGAGAAAGAAAUUCUUCAGAGCAGCCCCACGGGCACGGCACGUGAACCUGGAUCCGGUCACCCGGCACAGGACAGGGCCCCCCUCCCCACAGCUGGGACCCGCUCCCUCACCUCUACUCAUCUUCCGCUCUGUUGCGGAUUUCUUGUCUGCAGCAGCCUCUGCUCUGCUCUUUUCCACAGUGAGCUGAAACCUGGAAACAGAGAGUGACAACCCUUGAAGAAGGAUGACCUCCUACCCCACGCAACUGGUCAGCGGUAUUUAUCUCUGUGCUAUGCAAAGCGUGGCACCCUUUUCCUUCCUGGCCAUGCCAAACCAGCACAUGUAGCCUAAAUUCCUCUGCAUGUGCAGUCCGUUCCCUCUGAGGGGAAUCGGGACAGCUUGGGCACCAGUAACACAACCGCGAUCCCCCAUCGCUCCGGGAGAAGACACACACAGCCGAAAAGCAGCAGUAGUUAACCAGGAGCCAGACUUUCCAGGAUUUUUCCCCAGCUAGAUGCUGAGCACAGAGACCCAGCAGGGCAUGUCCCAGAGGAGGAGGUGGGAAGGAAGCCUGUCUGCUGGCCAGCUAAGAGCUGCAGAGGAAACGCACUCACCUCGGGAACAAGCGGAUCCCACGGGCGGUGGUCUCUGGCCCGAAGUCAGCAAGAUCUUCCGUCCAGAAUCUCUGCAAAGGGACACAGACCUGCUGGAGGCUAGCCAAGGCCAUUUCUUCAUGGCUCUUGUUGACAGGAAGCAAACCUGGCUCCUGUGCCAAGAGAAAGCUGCUCUCCACCAAAGCCUCGUCUGUGAACAUCAGAGCUUUGUUCUGCUCUGAAGGAGCAGGAUGGCAAAAUAGUGAGGCCGUGCAAGAGCACUGCCAGGCAGGGGCAGAGAUCCAGGAAAUCCCUUUGCCCGUGGAGAAAGCCAUGGGGGCAAGCGUGGGGAAAGGCAUUUGACUGGCCUGCCACAUCCAGGCUGGCCAGCAGUGAUCCGAUGGUGCACCUCACAACCUCCUCAACUUACGGUGUGGAUCAGUGCGAGGACGGGGGCAUUGCUCUCCAGCGUUUCAACGCAGCUGCAGAAGAACCUCAUGCAGAGGAAGUUGUCUUGGCAGGUCAUAACGCCGAGGUUCUUGAACACGAACGGGACGGGCGUCUUGUUCCUCAGGAGGUGACAGUAGAAGAGGACGCUCUCCCGCACGCAGCGCGGCACCAAGUGCAGCGGGACGCCAGAGGCUCGCGAGAGCUGCCGGUAGUUGAGCGGCUCAAUCUUGAUGCUGUCUGCAAGGAGAAGUCACAUCCUCACUGCCACAGCCAGCCCAUGCAGCAUUCAUAACCAAAUCCACAGAAAAGGUCCUUUAAAGAACACAGCCGGCCGGACGUGGGGCAGGAAGGGGAAGGUGGCUGCUGCCUUCUUACCAGGGAUGAUGUCGCUGGGAGACUGGAGGUCUGGCAGCCACAGCGCCCUGAUAUCCAGUUCGAAGACGGGUCUUCGGACUGGAAGCGCCUCUUCUUUGCUGUGGAGUUGCUCUCGGACCCCAGCAAAGAUCCCGAGUUCCGGAACCAGGACGCCCUGCACAGGGAAAAGACAGGCUGAUGAGCAUGUACUUUAGGGGCGGCAAAAGCCACGAACAUCAGGAGCGUGGUGUCACUGCU